UGGAUGAUGUGGAUUAAUUCGAUGCAACGCGAAGAACCUUACCUACCCUUGACAUGUCCGGAACUUGCCAGAGAUGGCUUGGUGCCCGAAAGGGAAUCGGAACACAGGUGCUGCAUGGCUGUCGUCAGCUCGUGUCGUGAGAUGUUGGGUUAAGUCCCGCAACGAGCGCAACCCUUAUCAUUAGUUGCUACGCAAGGGCACUCUAAUGAGACUGCCGGUGACAAACCGGAGGAAGUGGGGAUGACGUCAAGUCCUCAUGGCCCUUAUGGGUAGGGCUUCACACGUCAUACAAUGGUCGGUACAGAGGGUUGCCAAGCCGCGAGGCGGAGCCAAUCCCACAAAGCCGAUCGUAGUCCGGAUUGUUCUCUGCAACUCGAGAGCAUGAAGUCGGAAUCGCUAGUAAUCGCAGGUCAGCAUACUGCGGUGAAUACGUUCCCGGGUCUU
This 444-nucleotide ribosomal RNA is filed under the name uncultured Thiobacillus sp. RNAcentral's name for it is "bacterial SSU rRNA". It matches the Rfam family "Bacterial small subunit ribosomal RNA", at positions 933 to 1382 of the family's 1533-position model. The record is from RNAcentral. Lineage: Bacteria; Pseudomonadati; Pseudomonadota; Betaproteobacteria; Nitrosomonadales; Thiobacillaceae.